Molecule: ribosomal RNA, 253 nt
Filed under: uncultured bacterium
Lineage: Bacteria
Description: partial 16S ribosomal RNA
Rfam family: Bacterial small subunit ribosomal RNA
Source: RNAcentral
UACAGGGGGUGCAAGCGUUGCUCGGAAUUAUUGGGCGUAAAGGGUUCGUAGGCGGUUUGUCGCGUCGGGAGUGAAAACUCAGGGCUUAACCCUGAGCCUGCUUCCGAUACGGGCAGACUAGAGGUAUGCAGGGGAGAACGGAAUUCCUGGUGUAGCGGUGAAAUGCGCAGAUAUCAGGAGGAGCACCGGUGGCGAAGGCGGUUCUCUGGGCAUUACCUGACGCUGAGGAGCGAAAGCAUGGGGAGCGAACAGG